Molecule: ribosomal RNA, 405 nt
Filed under: uncultured prokaryote
Description: bacterial SSU rRNA
Rfam family: Bacterial small subunit ribosomal RNA
Source: RNAcentral
UGGGGGAUAUUGCACAAUGGGCGAAAGCCUGAUGCAGCAACGCCGCGUGAGGGAAGACGGUUUUCGGAUUGUAAACCUCUGUCUUUGGUGAAGAAAGAAAUGACGGUAGCCGAGGAGGAAGCCACGGCUAACUACGUGCCAGCAGCCGUGGUAAUAAGUAGGUGGCAAGCGUUGUCCGGAAGUACUGGGUGUAAAGGGAGCGCAGGCGGGAGAGCAAGUCAGCUGUGAAAACUAUGGGCUUAACCCAUAAACUGCAGUGGAAACUGUUUUUCUUGAGUGGGGUAGAGGUAGGCGGAAUUCCGAGUGUAGCGGUGAAAUGCGUAGAUAUUCGGAGGAACACCAGUGGCGAAGGCGGCCUACUGGGCUCUAACUGACGCUGAGGCUCGAAAGUGUGGGGAGCAAACA